Molecule: unclassified non-coding RNA, 218 nt
Filed under: Hevea brasiliensis (rubber tree)
Lineage: Eukaryota; Viridiplantae; Streptophyta; Magnoliopsida; Malpighiales; Euphorbiaceae
Source: RNAcentral
CUUACUACGAGUUUUGGAGGUUUUAUAUUAAUCCAAUUUCUAGUGCCAAUUCGGCCCAUAGAGUUGGAUCGUGACAAUUAAUUUGAUGGAUUAAUUUCAAGAUUAACAAGAGAUGAAUUAAUGUAAACCCAUGAAAACUUUGACUCAUUGAUAUUGGUUGGACCUAGAUGCAAUGUUAUUGCUAGGAUGUGGGUUAGGAAAUAGCAACGAGAUUUUGG